ACUGUGUGGGGAUAGUGUUCAGCACCAAGGACAGGCUUAUUAACUGUGUGUGGAUAGUGUUCAGCACCAAGGACAGGCUUGUUUACUG
This 88-nucleotide microRNA precursor is filed under the name Branchiostoma floridae (Florida lancelet). Its description in RNAcentral is "mir-2060 microRNA precursor family". It matches the Rfam family "mir-2060 microRNA precursor family". The record is from Rfam by way of RNAcentral. Lineage: Eukaryota; Metazoa; Chordata; Leptocardii; Amphioxiformes; Branchiostomatidae.